Colletotrichum phormii is the source of this 72-nucleotide non-coding RNA. The record is from the annotation of a RefSeq genome assembly. Lineage: Eukaryota; Fungi; Ascomycota; Sordariomycetes; Glomerellales; Glomerellaceae.
GGUACGAGCGCUCGGUGGUCAGAGCGAUCCAGAAUGGUUGGUUAGUCCCCGGUUCGAAUCCAGGUCGUACCC